Molecule: transfer RNA, 91 nt
Filed under: Vibrio astriarenae
Lineage: Bacteria; Pseudomonadati; Pseudomonadota; Gammaproteobacteria; Vibrionales; Vibrionaceae
Description: tRNA-Gly
Source: RNAcentral
GCGGCACUAGCUCAGUUGAUUGAGCGCAACCUUGCCAAGGUUGAGGUCACGCCUUUCUGUUUAUGAAUAGGGAACCUCGUGUGUCGCUCCA